GGGCUCCGGCGUAGUGGUUUUCUUGCUGACACACUGUCCGCUUACAUCAGCUGCAAGACGCCCACUGGGUCAGGGUCCCAGUGGGAGAGAGAGGAUGCCGGCUCCGGGCUGUGUUGUGACUGUGAUUCUCAAGCACUGUUCCAUUUAUAAGUGGUUUGCAAAAGGUUAAUAACUGAAGAUGAGCCCACUAAAGAAAGCGACACACAUCACUGUUUAAGAACACAUCCCUUCAAGAUGUUAUUUACGAUCAUAAACACAUUGCUGGAAGCACUGCUAGUGGGUGCAGACAAUUAAUUGCCUUAAAGGAUUAAGUCAUUAAAAGUAGUUGAUCAACUGUCAGCAUUCCUUUAACUCUAUAAGCCAUGUGGAAGUGGAACCUCAAUGCUCCAUAUUACCAAGUUCUGGAUGACAAACACCCAUUGACUCAGAGGUCCGACAGUCACUCACAGACUACAUCACUGACGGAUCUGCUCUCGGAGAUGCAGGUGGAACAAUUUACAUGAGUACAACACCUGCACCUGAUGCCAGCUGUAAGCCACGGUGCUGAGCAAUGAUGCGUGACCAUGUCUGAUCUGUGACUCCACGUGCAUAAUUCAAGAAAAGCUUUGAAUCUGCAAAUCAAAUGAAUGCCUGUUUUCCCCUUACUACUGCCAGUAUAGAAUAGCAUAUCCCUCCCCAUUUCUCUCUGUCUCUUCCCCAACAAACCUCCACCAGCUGCACUUUUGAGACUUAGUUUAGGUGAGAACGUAUGGUCUGGUUUUCAGCUGGCAUAAAUCCGGUUUUGCUGGCUUCACUGGAGCAACGCUGAUUUACAUGGGCUGAUGACCUGUCUGUAUAUACAUUAAGGCAUAUUUAUCCAGCAAACCUGUCCACGAUGCUUUCUAUCUUCCAUUCCUUAUUCACUCAAACUCAGCUGGCUCUUUGAGGCCGGAAUUGCGCUCAUCUCCCUUCUGUGUUGUGUCUCUCGUAAAUGAGCCAGUUGGAAAGCACACUGUCCACCCUGCAGGAAGAUUAUACUCCAAGGUUAUAUAUUACAGCAUGAUGGGUGAGCUCCUGAAGGCUUCAGAGUGCAGGAUCAGUCCAGCCAACAAAACAAAAUAUCUCAGAAGGCUGGUUGUUAAAGCAUGGCAAGAAUAUCAGCACUACUAGAGAAAUGCUGGACAGAGACACACAAAUAAAG
Long non-coding RNA from Cygnus atratus (black swan), 1180 nucleotides. RefSeq lists it as uncharacterized. NCBI's taxonomy places the organism in Eukaryota, Metazoa, Chordata, Aves, Anseriformes, Anatidae. The record is from RefSeq and is a predicted model, not a curated record. The transcript is spliced from 3 exons.